AGCGGCGGACGGGUGAGUAAUGCCUAGGAAUCUGCCUGGUAGUGGGGGAUAACGUUCGGAAACGGACGCUAAUACCGCAUACGUCCUACGGGAGAAAGCAGGGGACCUUCGGGCCUUGCGCUAUCAGAUGAGCCUAGGUCGGAUUAGCUAGUUGGUGAGGUAAUGGCUCACCAAGGCGACGAUCCGUAACUGGUCUGAGAGGAUGAUCAGUCACACUGGAACUGAGACACGGUCCAGACUCCUACGGGAGGCAGCAGUGGGGAAUAUUGGACAAUGGGCGAAAGCCUGAUCAGCCAUGCCGCGUGUGUGAA
RNAcentral lists this ribosomal RNA (311 nucleotides) under Pseudomonas chlororaphis. Its description in RNAcentral is "bacterial SSU rRNA". It matches the Rfam family "Bacterial small subunit ribosomal RNA", at positions 94 to 409 of the family's 1533-position model. The record is from RNAcentral. Lineage: Bacteria; Pseudomonadati; Pseudomonadota; Gammaproteobacteria; Pseudomonadales; Pseudomonadaceae.